AACACUCACAGCUCUGGUCUCACUUGAGGAAAAUAAGGAAGUAAUCAGAGGACUCUCAUCUGGGUAAUUAUUGCUCUUGCUGAUGGAUUCCACAUUUGCUAUGGCAGAAUAUCAACCUGAGAUUCACACUGUUCAGUAAAGCUGAGCAAUCUGGAAAACUAUCCCAGUUGGAACUGAAGUGAAUGUUUAUUCCUGCUUUUCAGCCUAAAACUGAACAAUAGGAUACAGAAGGAGCUCUUUCAUCAUGACUAAGUUGAACAACAAGAAAAAGAGACAUCAAAAUUGGGGUUUCUCAAAGUUUCCAGAUAUGCUCAAAGUAACACCCCACUAUAUAAUAUUACUGCAUGACCCCAUCACUCAGAACUGAGCAUGGACCUGGUCGCUCUUGCAAUUUGAUGUCCUUACAUCUCUGACAUGGAUGAAGUAUAUAAAUGAAAAUGCACUGAAAAAGCAAAAUGGAUUGCAAACAAAAUUUUGACAUGUUAAAAACUGAAUGAAUUGGGAAGAUGUGCACUAAUAGGCACAAUGGAAGAAAUUGCUCCAAAAAAUAGAUGCACAUUUCCAGGUGGCAAAUCAUAAUUGUAUCGUGUGAAAGGGCCCAUCAUGAAUGAUAAUAGCUCUAUUCUAUGGAAUCCUGGGAUUUAUAAUUUAAGAAGGUGCAUCUAGAAUUCUCAUAUUUUGUGUCUCCCAGCUUUACAAACCCCAGGAUUCCAUAGGCUGGAACCAUGCAAUGGAAUCAUAGUGCCAUAACUGAGGAGCACAACUGGUAUCCUGCUGAAAUAAUUACUUUAAAAAAACCCUGAAAUAAUGAACUAAAUCCAAUUUUGCUGUCCAGCUGGAGGUUACCUAUUCAACCAUUGGCAUCCUUGAUUGAGUCUAUUCUCCUGUAAUGCACUUUUCCUCUUUUUGCUACUGCCUUUCCUUUAUUAUUACCUUUUCUAAUGAAUCUUGUGUUCUCAUCACAUGUACAAAGUAUUGUUUUCUCUCAAUUUAGUUCAUGUAGCUUCUGGGGAGAGUUUUAAUUUGAUUUGUUCUUUGACCCAUUGCCCACCUUUUUGACAGUGGUAUCUUUUUGAAAGUGGUGUCCUCCAGCAGCAGGGAAUUUCCCAUCCCAUCUCACUCAACCUUUUUUCUGCUGCUCUGGAAAGUGUAAUAGGAGGUUGAACAAAGAUAUACUCAUCAAUGGGUGCAGGCUUAAGCACCUGUACUUCGCCAAAGACAUAGUUUUAAUCAUGCAUACAACCUUAGAAGUCUCCAGCAUGUCUAGCAAGCUGUGAAGCAGAAGUUGGUCAAUUGGAUUAAAGAUGAACAUGCAAAAGAUGAAGGUACUCAGAAACAACUUCACAGAGGGUGCUACAGUGACAGUAGAUGGCAUUGACCUGAAAUGUAGAAUAAUACAGUGUUCCCUCGUUACUUCGCGGUUCACUUUUCUUGCCCUCGCUGUUUCGCGGGUUUUCAAUAUAUAUUAAUGUACACCAUGUAUCAGAGUAUUUUCCCUGUUUUGCAGGUUUUGGGGGAGGAAGCCAGGGGGUGGGCUUAUAAGAAAGGGUUUUGGAAGGGGGGAAAAGGGAGAAAUAAAGGGAGAGGGGGAGGGGAGGGAAGAGUUGGAAAUAAAAAAGGGUUAUUUAGCUUCCAUUCUUCUUCUCUGCCAGUGUACUGUAUAUUGUAACUGCUAAAAUAAAGUAUAAAUAUUAAAAUAAA
Molecule: long non-coding RNA, 1701 nt
Organism: Anolis carolinensis (green anole)
Lineage: Eukaryota; Metazoa; Chordata; Lepidosauria; Squamata; Anolidae
Exons: 3
Source: RefSeq, a predicted model, not a curated record